ACUUUUUAUUUCAGGUGGUUUCCUGUUAAAGUUUAUUCAGAGGACAACAAGUAGACAUUGGUGUGCUGUCCCCAUUCUGCUUCUGUCUAAGGCUUUGGCAAACAUCCCAAGAUGUAAAACUCUGGGUAUAGAAGGCCUUCUUGCCUUCAGGAGAGAGUGUCACUGUCAGACAUCUCAACUUUUCUCAUGUCUGUGAGGCAAGAGGACCCCUUAGGACGAUGGACUUCACUGUGGACAGAGGCUCACUCACUCUGUUAGAAGUCGCCUGUAUCACAGACAC
This is a non-coding RNA of Vicugna pacos (alpaca), 280 nucleotides long. The record is from RefSeq and is a predicted model, not a curated record. Lineage: Eukaryota; Metazoa; Chordata; Mammalia; Artiodactyla; Camelidae.